UACGGGGGGAGCAAGCGUUGUUCGGAUUUACUGGGCGUAAAGGGCGCGUAGGCGGUCAGCACAAGUCAGUUGUGAAAUCUCCGGGCUUAACCCGGAAAGGUCAACUGAUACUGUGCGACUAGAGUGCGGAAGGGGCAACUGGAAUUCUCGGUGUAGCGGUGAAAUGCGUAGAUAUCGAGAGGAACACCUGCGGCGAAGGCGGGUUGCUGGGCCGACACUGACGCUGAUGCGCGAAAGCCAGGGGAGCGAACAGG
RNAcentral lists this ribosomal RNA (254 nucleotides) under uncultured bacterium. RNAcentral describes it as "partial 16S ribosomal RNA". It matches the Rfam family "Bacterial small subunit ribosomal RNA", at positions 524 to 776 of the family's 1533-position model. The record is from RNAcentral.